CAGGGAUCCAUGGUGCCAGGAUGACAGGAAGGAAAGAAGGUGGAUGCCAGUGGAUUAGUAGCAGACCAGGCAGUAAGGCAGUAUUAGUAGCAGAACAGACAGCAGGCAGUAAGGCAGUAUUAGUAGCAGACCAGACAGCAGGCAGUAUUAGUAGCAGACCAGACAGCAGGCAGUAUUAGUAGCAGAACAGACAGCAGGCAGUAUUAGUAGCAGAACAGACAUCAGGCAGUAUUAGUAGCAGAACAGACAGCAGGCAGUAAGGCAGUAUUAGUAGCAGAACAGACAGCAGGCAGUAAGGCAGUAUUAGUAGCAGAACAGACAGCAGGCAGUAUUAGUAGCAGAACAGACAGCAGGCAGUAUUAGUAGCAGACCAGACAGCAGGCAGUAUUAGUAGCAGAACAGACAGCAGGCAGUAACGCAGUAUUAGUAGCAGAACAGACAGCAGGCAGUAAGGCAGUA
Long non-coding RNA from Oncorhynchus tshawytscha (Chinook salmon), 459 nucleotides. The record is from Ensembl. NCBI's taxonomy places the organism in Eukaryota, Metazoa, Chordata, Actinopteri, Salmoniformes, Salmonidae.